Molecule: long non-coding RNA, 696 nt
Organism: Condylostylus longicornis
Lineage: Eukaryota; Metazoa; Arthropoda; Insecta; Diptera; Dolichopodidae
Exons: 3
Source: RefSeq, a predicted model, not a curated record
CAAGAGAAUACAAAGGAUAUUAUAAAAAAAAACAAACAUAAACGGAAACUGUAUAAUAAAUUAUAAAUAAGGAAGUCUGGUAGCCGUCGUCCUUACGUUAAUGAACUACUUUUUUGUUAAAAUUUAAAAGACCAUAAAAGGUCGUACAUAAAAUAUUUUUAUAAACGCACAUAAGAAAUACAAAAAUUUAUGAAAUUUCUAAAAACAGCAAAAAAUUAAGUUGGAUCAAACCAAUGGUUUGUAAAGUAAUACUUUUCCCUUCACUUACAAAUAGUACUUUUAAAAACACGCUAUAUACCACAAUACUACGUAAUUCAAAUUACUUUCAUUCAUCACCAAAAUAUGUCAAAGAUUGCAUACAUUAUUUGUGCCAAUACGAGGCACAAAAAAACAUUUGAAGGAAGCGUUAAUUUCAUUCGCUAACUUCGGUAAAAAAAUUUUAUUCCAGUAAAAUUAAUUAUAAAUUAUAUCUAAAAGCUGCUAAAAUUUGAGAGUUUUACAACCUGCAGUCUAGAAGAAAAACGAUGUCAACAAUUUGAAACUGACGGAUUUUAGAUAAUGGUCUUUGAGGGGCUAUAACUCUUUGGAGGGAGGAGGAGAUUGGUCAAAUUUUUUUCUACGGAAAUAAGUUUCUAGUAAAGAUCUAUGAACAUGUGCAAUUUCAGCUUUCUAUCUUAAAGGGUGAAGAGGUACUGU